GGGAGGGUCUAAAACGCGGAAGUGGAAAACGCGGAAGUGAAAAAUUGGUGUAUUAUAAUUAAUAUCUCUGGAACCGCUUAAGCUAAAUCAAUAAAUAAAAGUGAUUCUGAAAGCUAUUACAAUGGGCUAUAAGAUUAAAUUAAAAAAAAAUAUAUUUGAAUAUGCUUUUUUACCGAAAAGUUGACCGGAAGUGUUUCUUAGUGUGACUCUGACAACACAUUUUUGAACAGUAAAACUUAUAUUCACGAAAAAGCAUAUAACCCGGUCAAAGUAUGUAAAUUGAUUCUUAAAGACAUUUAAAUGACAAAUAAUAUGAUAGAAAGAAAAAAAUAAAUAUAUUACUAUAAAAGGGCAAAAAGUUGACCGGAAGUCACCCUGGUAUAUAAAUGAUGAAGUCAAAUUUUCAACUUUGAAUUAAAAUUCCAAAAAAAAUAAAAAUCCCGGUCAAAGUCUGUAAAUUGAUUCUUAAAGACAUUUAAAUGACAAAUAAUAUGAUAUAAAGAAAAAAAUAAAUAU
This 516-nucleotide long non-coding RNA is filed under the name Mytilus galloprovincialis (Mediterranean mussel). Lineage: Eukaryota; Metazoa; Mollusca; Bivalvia; Mytilida; Mytilidae. The record is from RNAcentral.